Long non-coding RNA from Cyprinus carpio (common carp), 1334 nucleotides. RefSeq lists it as uncharacterized. Lineage: Eukaryota; Metazoa; Chordata; Actinopteri; Cypriniformes; Cyprinidae. The transcript is spliced from 3 exons. The record is from RefSeq and is a predicted model, not a curated record.
AUUUCCCUCCAGCAGCUCCUGGGCCCUCAUUGGGCGAUCCAGGCUUGGUUUUCCCACAUAGAUAUCGCUGUCCGCUGGGAAGGCCCUCAGGAGAGACAGAAGGGCUCCAGGGUUCAGUCUGCGGCUGUCGCUUCCUCUUAUUGGCACAGAGGCAAAGGGCACACAAACAGAAGCACCAAAACUGACAAGCACAAACAACAUCCUGUGCUUAAAAACCCGCUGUUGGAGCUUGAAAUGUAAUUUGAACAACCCUAAUCAUCAAAUGUAAUGGAAGACAAAACUCAAAGACUUACACCGAACGAGAGACUGAAGCCACAUCAACAGACUAGAAUAUCAUAGAGACACCCCCUAGCGACCACCUACUAUAAGAAUUACACAGUUAUAAACUUGAAUAUGACUUUUUUUAUUUUCUCAGAAUUUCGAGUUAAAUGUGUUUAGAAAAUCUGAAAUUAUGAGUUUAUAUCUCGCAGUUUUGAAAAGAAUCAAAAAGUCAAAAUCGUCAGAUAUAAAAGAGAAAAGUCAGAAAUUAUAAGAUAAAAAGAACAUCAACAAAAAAACAACUGCAAAAUAUAAACUCAAAAGGCAGAAUUCUGGGGAUUGUAUUUCACAAUUUUGGCCUUUUUUUAGAAUUGCAAGUUCUUGUCAUUCUGAACGCACGUUUUUGCAAUAAUUUGCUGUCAAUUGACCCUUCGCAGGGAGCUUGAUUGACAGGUGAUCUGACCAAUCACAAUGUACCAGAAGUAACAUACUUGGUCCUGUCUGACGGAGUUUUGUCAGUUUCCUCUUUACUCCAUGAUGUAUUUUUUACUGUAUAAGAACAUGAUGUGUGGCAUAAGAGUGGCAUGGCUUGUCGGACAUAGCAACAGUAACAAAGGAGGGUAGGUUUUUUUGCGAAGGUUCAGUUGUGAGAAAAUUUUCAUAAUUGUAAAAAUAAAAGUCGCAAACAUGCAAUUUUUAUUCCGUGGUGGGGGGGGAGGAUGACAGAACUGCAAAAUAUAACCUCAAAAUUCUGGGUGGUUUAUCUCAUUAGUUUGACUUUUUUUCUUAGAAUUGCAAGUUUAUAGAUUAUCUUAAUUCUGAACACACAUUCUUGUCGUAAUUUGCUGUCAAGUAUAAUUAUUAUACUGUAUGAUUUGUUGUCUGUGCUGCAAUAAUUUAUUGUAAAUAAAUGGAUAAUUUAUUACAGAAACAAUCUAACGUGUGUUUACACAACACCAUUAAAAAAAAAAUCUGAAAACGUUUUAUGCGUUUUGGCUGUUCAUUUAUAUGACAACAGUGUUUUAGGGGCCUGAAAAUACAAAGAUAUUAAAACGAGUUUCAAAAUGUCUAUUUUU